UGGGGAAUCUUCCGCAAUGGGCGAAAGCCUGACGGAGCAAUACCGCGUGAGGGAGGAAUGCCUUUGGGUUGUAAACCUCUUUUCUCAGGGAAGAAGAUCUGACGGUACCUGAGGAAUAAGUAUCGGCUAACUCCGUGCCAGCAGCCGCGGUAAUACGGAGGAUGCAAGCGUUAUCCGGAAUCAUUGGGCGUAAAGCGUCCGCAGGUGGUUUCCAAAGUCUGCUGUUAAAGACUGGAGCUCAACUCCGGAACGGCGGUGGAAACUUGGAAACUAGAGUUCGGUAGGGGUAGCAGGAAUUCCCAGUGUAGCGGUGAAAUGCGUAGAUAUUGGGAAGAACAUCGGUGGCGAAGGCGUGCUACUGGACCGUAACUGACACUCAGGGACGAAAGCUAGGGGAGCGAAAGGGAUUAGAUACCCCUGUNNNNCUAGCUGUAAACGAUGGAAACUAGGUGUGGCUU
This 458-nucleotide ribosomal RNA is filed under the name uncultured marine microorganism. RNAcentral's name for it is "bacterial SSU rRNA". It matches the Rfam family "Bacterial small subunit ribosomal RNA", at positions 355 to 828 of the family's 1533-position model. The record is from RNAcentral.